RNAcentral lists this transfer RNA (67 nucleotides) under Bufoniceps laungwalaensis. RNAcentral describes it as "tRNA-Ile". Lineage: Eukaryota; Metazoa; Chordata; Lepidosauria; Squamata; Agamidae. The record is from RNAcentral.
AGAAGUGUGCCCGAGAUACAAGGACUAUUUUGAUAGAAUAGCUACAGAGACCAAAAACUCUCACUUC